AUUGAACGCUGGCGGCAGGCCUAACACAUGCAAGUCGAGCGGCUGCACGGGGUUCGCCCCUGGAUCCAGCGGCGGACGGGUGAGUAAUGCCUAGGAACGUGCCCGGUAGUGGGGGAUAACGUACCGAAACGGGCGCUAAUACCGCAUACGACCUGUGGGAGAAAGUGGGGGAUCUUCGGACCUCAUGCUCUCGGAUGAGCCUAGGUCGGAUUAGCUAGUUGGUGGGGUAAAGGCCUACCAAGGCGGCGAUCAGUAGCUGGUCUGAGAGGAUGAUCAGUCACACUGGAACUGAGACACGGUCCAGACUCCUACGGGAGGCAGCAGUGGGGAAUAUUGGACAAUGGGCGCAAGCCUGAUCCAGCAAUGCCGCGUGAGUGAAGAAGGCCUUCGGGUUGUAAAGCUCUUUUGGUAGGGAGGAAGCGCAGUAAGUUAAUACCCUGCUCUAUUGACGGUACCUAAAGAAUAAGCACCGGCUAACUUCGUG
RNAcentral lists this ribosomal RNA (484 nucleotides) under uncultured bacterium. Its description in RNAcentral is "partial 16S ribosomal RNA". It matches the Rfam family "Bacterial small subunit ribosomal RNA", at positions 30 to 507 of the family's 1533-position model. The record is from RNAcentral.